This 23-nucleotide non-coding RNA is filed under the name Arabidopsis thaliana (thale cress). Lineage: Eukaryota; Viridiplantae; Streptophyta; Magnoliopsida; Brassicales; Brassicaceae. The record is from RNAcentral.
GUGGCUAAGUUUGGGAUCCAACC